AACAUUUGGGGACACUAAGAGACAUCGGAACACAGACAGUGGGAGACAUGGGGACACUGGGAGACAUGGGGACACUGAGGGACACUAUGGAAACUGGUUGGGAGACAGACACUUGGAGACACCGGAACACUUGUGGACACAGACAUGGGGACACUGGGAGGCAUGGGGACACAGACAUUUGGGGACACUGGGAGACAUGGGGACCCUAGGC
Non-coding RNA from Pelobates cultripes (western spadefoot toad), 211 nucleotides. NCBI's taxonomy places the organism in Eukaryota, Metazoa, Chordata, Amphibia, Anura, Pelobatidae. The record is from the annotation of a GenBank genome assembly.